CACGUGAACAAUCUACCUUUAAGUGGGAAUAACUGGCCGAAAGGCUAAUUAAUACCGCAUGUGGUCGAAAUUCGCAUGAAUUUCGAACUAAAGUCAGGGACCGCAAGGCCUGACGCUUUUAGAGGAGUUCGCGGCCUAUCAGCUAGUUGGCGAGGUAACGGCUCACCAAGGCUAAGACGGGUAGCUGGUCUGAGAGGAUGAUCAGCCACACUGGAACUGAGACACGGUCCAGACACCUGCGGGUGGCAGCAGUUUCGAAUCAUUCACAAUGGGCGAAAGCCUGAUGGUGCGACGCCGCGUGAGGGAUGAAGGUCUUCGGAUUGUAAACCUCUGUCACCAGGGAAGAAAAACUAGCCGUUAAUAGCGUCUAGUCUGACUUAACCUGGAGAGGAAGCAGUGGCUAACUCUGUG
RNAcentral lists this ribosomal RNA (411 nucleotides) under uncultured bacterium. RNAcentral describes it as "bacterial SSU rRNA". It matches the Rfam family "Bacterial small subunit ribosomal RNA", at positions 114 to 507 of the family's 1533-position model. The record is from RNAcentral.